GUGAAAUGAACUCUUAGGAAACCACUGAUGGAUUCAUCAAGAAGCCCUAAACCUUGGAAAAGCCAAGAGACCAGAGGUCUCACCUUAAAGGUAUCUGGUCCUUCGACCUCACCGUGACCCAGUUUCUUCAGGAGAACAUUCCAGAAGCAGAGCAAGGGGCUGCGAACGGUGUGCAAUGCUUCCUGAACCACCUCAUGGCCCUCCAUCCACUUCGUCUGGGUCAUGCUGGCUCUGCGGCCAUGGCAUUUCAGCGUCUCAUCUUCAUCUUCAUCCUAUUUGUAACCAUGGGGCACAUGCUGUAUUUUUUUUUUUUUAAUGCAAGAAAGUGUAAGAUUAGAAACGCCCAUGUUCAGAAGACAGCAAAGAAGGGAGCUUUAACCUGACAGAGAUGGAACAGAGGAGAUCAGAAAGAAUAGACAAUAAUGGCCACUCAUCCUGCUUCCAGUAUGAAGAUUCCCCUACAUCUAGCAUGGACAGAAGUGUUGACAGAGGGAGGAGUUUUGGCAGAACAACAGAAGUCAAGUACGGCAAUGGCAAAGAAAAAGCCAACUACUAAGCCUGUCUGUCUACCACAUUACUUUAUUGGCUUCCAAAUAAACCCAAUCCUAGGGGACAAAAGAUGUGAAUCCAUAUCAGAAGAGAGAGGCAGUUCUGGAUUCCUGAGGUGUGUAAAGCUUUGAUUCUGCCCCCUCUCUGUAAGGUCUGUUUUCACCAGUCCAUAGCCCUAGGCUUGGUCUUGGAGCUGGGUUCUUCAGGAUAGGCUUCCUGUACAUGAGCUCAUAUGGACUCAACCUGAGUUUCCUUUGGGGGCCAUUUGCAUUCUCAAAAGUGCUGUGGGGAGAAGGGAGAUCUAGGCUGAUGAAUGAACCACAGGAGAAUUCCUAAAUUUUUGCUGAGGGUUUGGUUUGUUCUACUUUUCCUGAGGAUUGUGGCCUCCAAGUAGCGUGUGAACCCCAUUUGAUUCAUAGAGCUCUAGAGUUUCUCUUAGUAAUUUGGGAAAAUAACAUGGGCCCGUUGUGACUCUGGAUGGAUAUAAGGAGCCUGAGCUGAAGAUUACUUCCUUGAGCAAGGCCUUAGACCUCCAAGCAGUCUCUGUUUGAGUGGGGAAUGCUCCAUUAGUUGGAGAAGGUGUCAAAACCAGCAUAGGAGUUCCCUGGUAGCCUCAUGGUUAAGGAUUAGGCAUUGUCACUGCUAUAGCUCAUUGUCACUGCUAUGGUUCGAGUUCAUUUCCCAGCCUGGGAAACUCUGUGUACCAUGAAUGUGGCCAAAAAACAAAACAAAACCAGGAUAUAUCUAAAAUUUAAUUGCCCCAGGGCAUUACUGUGAAAUCAGAUUGCCAGUCUUAACCUGCAUAUGUGCCUUUAUACUGGGUGGGGGUCACUCCCUUGGCCUUGGGUCGGGGGAGGUGUGUUGGGCUUAUUCCAGAGGCAGAUAGGGCAGCUUUUACCACCUGUUUAAGUAGACUGCAGAAAUUGGGAGUAGUCAUGGAUUGGAUAAGCUGUUGAUACAGGGCCUCCUGCCCAUAAAGUAUGCUCUAGUGAGUUUCCCAGAGAGCAAUGGCUGAUGGGAGAAUAGCUGCCCAUGACCAUUAACCAGCUACCUGGGUAUUAUGCCUUUUAAAACAACCCCACCUUUGAGUUUCCUGGUGGCCUAGUGGUUUAGGAUUUGGCAUUGUCACUGCUGUGGCUCAGAUUUGAUCCUUGGUCUAGGAAAUUCUGCAUGCUGUGGGCAUGGCCAAAACAAAAACAGCCCCAUCUCAAAGCCUUUUCCCUUAUUUCUGGGGUGUAUAUGGGAGUGUUGGAGUUAGGGAGUGGGGGAGAUGGUAGGAGUGGCAUUUGAAGUCUGUCUGCACCCUUUGCUGCUUGUGUAACUGCCAUAUCUGCUCUGUUAUUCCCUCUUAUAAUUCCUCCUUCUCCCUUUUGAUGGCCUCUGCAGUGAAUAACUGCUACUCCUUUGGCAGGAGUAUACCCUCCAGCAGCUGCAUAAUCCACCCCCCCCCCAUUAUUAAUCUUUUUAUUCUGAGGUCAGCAUUCCUUUCCCCAUCUAGCUGACCCCAUGGGUAUGUUGGAUUCAACAGGCAUAUUUAGAGUCAGUUUAAAUGGUGACAACUUUGCCUUUCCCAGGUUCUAGUGCUCUGACUAGGGUAGAUAACUCACCUUUAUAGGGAGAACAGACAGAAGGCAAAGCCUCAGCUGUUUGGUCCAAUUCUUAAAGAAAAAAAAAAAAAAAAGGCUAACCCGGAGUCAGAGGUCCCAUUUUUGUGUAAGCACUCCCAGGCAGUUAAAACUUCCCACUAGAAUCAAAUAUGUGUCCAUUCCCCAUGUAGUUCUCUUGGCCCUUGCCUUAGUGUUUUGAGGUUAUGUAAUUAGAUGCAUACAUGUUUAGAAAUUAAGACUUUCUGUUGAAUGUACCUUAUAUCUUUUUAAGUGUCUCCUUUAACUCUAGUAAUGUUUUUUGCCUUAAAGUCUAUUUUUCUGAUGUUAACAUAACUAUGCUUGCUUGAGAGGGGGCUGUAGUUGUGUCCAUAUAGAUGGAGGGGACUGGUCAGGUAAAUCUAACAUGGGAGCUUUCAUGAGAUGAUUUUUUAUUUCAAGGAAAGCCUGGACAAAGUCAGGGAUCCACUAGAAAGGGUCCUUCCCUUUUAAUUGUUCAUAAAGGGCUUAGCAAUUAAACCAAAGUUUGGGAUCCAUAUGCAGAAGAACCCUCCCAUCCCCAGAAAACCCUGGGGCUGCUUUCUUGUACUCUUGGGGGGCUGCCAUCUGGUAAAUCAA
RNAcentral lists this long non-coding RNA (2771 nucleotides) under Sus scrofa (pig). RNAcentral's name for it is "lncRNA (ENSSSCG00025056142.1)". Lineage: Eukaryota; Metazoa; Chordata; Mammalia; Artiodactyla; Suidae. The record is from RNAcentral.